AAAAAUAAAAUAAAAAUAGUAAAAAGUAAACAUAAAAGGUUUUUUUUUUUUUUUUUAU
This 58-nucleotide non-coding RNA is filed under the name uncultured eukaryote. The record is from RNAcentral.